UACGUAGGACCCAAGCGUUGUCCGGAAUCACUGGGUAUAAAGGGUGCGUAGGCGGCCAUGUGCGUCAGAGGUGAAAUAUCCGGGCUUAACCCGGAGGGUGCCUUUGAUACGGCAUGGCUUGAGUGCAGGAGAGGAUGAUGGAAUUUCUGGUGUAGCGGUGAAAUGCGUAGAUAUCAGAAGGAACACCGGUGGCGAAGGCGGUCAUCUGGCCUGCAACUGACGCUGAGGCACGAAAGCGCGGGGAUCAAACAGG
Molecule: ribosomal RNA, 253 nt
Filed under: uncultured bacterium
Lineage: Bacteria
Description: partial 16S ribosomal RNA
Rfam family: Bacterial small subunit ribosomal RNA
Source: RNAcentral